UUAUACAGCGAAACUGCGAAUGGCUCAUUAUAUAAGUUAUCGUUUAUUUGAUAGUACCUUACUACUUGGAUAACCGUGGUAAUUCUAGAGCUAAUACAUGCUAAAAAUCCCGACUUCGGAAGGGAUGUAUUUAUUAGAUUAAAAACCAAUGCCCUCUGGGCUCCUUGGUGAUUCAUGAUAACUUCUCGAAUCGCAUGGCCUUGCGCCGGCGAUGGUUCAUUCAAAUUUCUUCCCUAUCAACUUUCGAUGUUUGGGUAGUGGCCAAACAUGGUUGCAACGGGUAACGGAGGGUUAGGGCUCGACCCCGGAGAAGGAGCCUGAGAAACGGCUACUACAUCCAAGGAAGGCAGCAGGCGCGCAAAUUACCCAAUCCCGAUUCGGGGAGGUAGUGACAAUAAAUACUGAUACAGGGCUCUUUUGGGUCUUGUAAUUGGAAUGAGUACAAUUUAAAUCCCUUAACGAGGAACAAUUGGAGGGCAAGUCUGGUGCCAGCAGCCGCGGUAAUUCCAGCUCCAAUAGCGUAUAUUAAAGUUGUUGUGGUUAAAAAGCUCGUAGUUGAACCUUGGGCCUGGCUGGCCGGUCCGCCUCACCGCGUGUACUGGUCCGGCCGGGCCUUUCCCUCUGUGGAACCCCAUGCCCUUCACUGGGUGUGGCGGGGAAACAGGACUUUUACUUUGAAAAAAUUAGAGUGCUCCAGGCAGGCCUAUGCUCGAAUACAUUAGCAUGGAAUAAUGAAAUAGGACGUGCGGUUCUAUUUUGUUGGUUUCUAGGACCGCCGUAAUGAUUAAUAGGGACAGUCGGGGGCAUCAGUAUUCAAUUGUCAGAGGUGAAAUUCUUGGAUUUAUUGAAGACUAACUACUGCGAAAGCAUUUGCCAAGGAUGUUUUCAUUAAUCAGGAACGAAAGUUAGGGGAUCGAAGACGAUCAGAUACCGUCGUAGUCUUAACCAUAAACUAUGCCGACUAGGGAUCGGACGAUGUUAUUUUUUGACUCGUUCGGCACCUUACGAGAAAUCAAAGU
Molecule: ribosomal RNA, 1019 nt
Filed under: Rotiferophthora angustispora
Lineage: Eukaryota; Fungi; Ascomycota; Sordariomycetes; Hypocreales
Description: SSU rRNA
Rfam family: Eukaryotic small subunit ribosomal RNA
Source: RNAcentral